Molecule: small nucleolar RNA, 130 nt
Organism: Jaculus jaculus (lesser Egyptian jerboa)
Lineage: Eukaryota; Metazoa; Chordata; Mammalia; Rodentia; Dipodidae
Gene: Snora64
Product: small nucleolar RNA, H/ACA box 64
Source: Ensembl
ACUCUCCCACUCUGCAUGGUUACACAAGGCUUAACCCGUGUGACUUUCGUACCAGGAGAGAGAGGAAAGAGCUCCUCGGGAGUUGAGUGGCCUCGCGGUGGCCUCUCUAGCCUAGAGGAGCACAACAGGC